This is a long non-coding RNA of Bombus terrestris (buff-tailed bumblebee), 4255 nucleotides long. RefSeq lists it as uncharacterized. Lineage: Eukaryota; Metazoa; Arthropoda; Insecta; Hymenoptera; Apidae. The transcript has 3 exons. The record is from RefSeq and is a predicted model, not a curated record.
UCAUGCAGAAAUACGCAUCGAUCUAAGGAUAAAGAAGGACUGCCACGGUCCAGGAACCUCUCUUUUGAUCACGUGAGAUGUCACUGCGGCUCGACGGACAGGUCCUGGAUCAGUUAUGCUUCGUAACUAUGCUAGGGAUAUGUUAGACUAUUCUGAUACGUCGGAACCAUGACAGAGGCCACGACUGUUAUAAUCCAAAUGAAAAAAAUAUUAUAUAAGAAAUCAUAUUUUAUUUUAAUGUUUAACUCUUGAUUGAUAUCAUUGGGUCACGAGAGAGCAUAAUAAUUUAAGACCAGAUUACUUCGUUUUAAAAUCUUUAAAUUAAUUUUAUUGCUAGCAUAAAGAACGUAAAAUAGAAAAUAAAAUUAAAUAACCCUAAAUAUUAAUAAUUUACAUUAAGAAAUAUAGGCUACAGAAUUGCGACAUUAUGCUUCUAAAGUAAUUAUCAGCAACUUUGAAGUUAAAAAAGUAAUUUAAAAGACAAGGUUACUUUAAAAAUAUACACUGGAACAUCAAUCGCUUUUUUAAGAGUAACCGAUAGAUAAUACUGAUAUCGAUAUAGAAUUGCAGAGAUUCGAUAAGAGGGGAUUUCUUGGAAAAGAGCGCUCUCCAACGAGAAAUCGAGCCGAUGUGACGUAAAUUGGUGCUGUUAUUCGAGGUAUCGUGAUCUAACAAAAUUUCUGAUAACCUAUACGUUAUCUAAAUACACAAUAAAAGAAUUUCCUAUCGUAAUUAAUUGUUUCCAGAAGUUAACGUCAUAUAUUAUAUUAAGUAGGUAAAGUUUAGCAAGAAUUUCCUGGAAGCAGAAAUUCAUUUGCAAGAAAGGAUUUUCGGGCGUCUAGAGAAUAUCAGAAAUUCCCUGGUAAUAUUUAUUGCGUCUGCUCUAGUUACAAUAUUCCUGUAGGACAUAAUUUAUUAUCAUCUUUUAUUUUUUUAGUCACAGUUCUUCGGCUGAAUUAACUCAGCUUGAGAGACAUUCUUUGGGAAUCGAUCUACAGACAAACAAUACAGAAGUCCCGUGAAUCUUCCUGCGCCACGAUGUUACACUUCAUUUCCUAAGCGAGUGUAGAAGCAUGCGCGACCGUAGCCGGUCUAUAUGACACUAACAUAUCACUACACGAAUGCAAUAAAUAAUUUGACACGCCUUGGACCUGCAAUUACUCCGGACUAUCGGAUAUUGUAUCCUAAAAUACCCCGUUGGUAAUGAAUAUUGAAUUCGCAUGGAUUUCUUUUUUCGACGAGUCUCUACACAGCUGUGUAUCGAAAAAUCGGUCACAACUGCGACGACUUAACCUCACCCGUACACUAACUUCUAUCAUUUCUUUAACAACUUUCUAUAUUCUUGUAAAAAUAUUGCAAAAUUACUUCAAGAUUCCUAUUUUUGGACAUUUAUAUUUUCGUAAUAGAAAAUUCUAAGAAAUUUUAAUAUUUAAGUUUCCAAUUCUUAUUUAUAUGCUUUCAUAAUGUUUUGUAAUAAAUGAAUGAUAUUAAAUAAAAAUUUUGCGUUCAUUCAUGUUGUACAUUUUGGCUUGAGAUAUUUUUCAAAAAAAUAUAAAAAUAAGUAUCUAGAUACCUGAUUUUCUUUUAAGUACGAUAAUUCGACUUUCAAAUUAGUAACUUAAAAUUUCUAAUCAACUAAAAAUAUCUGAUGUUUCAAACUAAUAAAUUGUAAUAAAACAAAUGUACAUACAAUACAUAACCUCUAUUUGUCAUUGUGAUAUAGAAUCUUAAGUUAACUACGUCACAACUCAACUCUCUAAGGUUAGUGGACAAUUUCAAAAUGGCGUAAAAGUGCGAAAUUUUAGGACAGAAAUACGCUCUUGUCAGAACAAAAAAGUUGUUGAAUACCACUUGUGCUCUCUGUCGAGAGCAGAUAAACGUUAUACGCUACUGGAUUAUGCGGUAUUGAUCGGUAUCGAAGCCCUUAGUAAUAAUAAGCGGCGUCCUUGAUUUCGCUUUGUUAGACUUCCAUAGAAUAGGUUAUGUACGAAUCCGGAUGCGAUAGUGGAGCCACAGAAACGUGGAAGACAAGAUGGUUCUUGUCCUCCUUAUGUUUGUAUCACUGAUAUAAAAAUUGACUGAAUUGAAUUUGAGGUUAUAUCGAGAAACGAGAUAAAAUUGAACGAUAAGGGAAAUUGAUAGAAUUCUUCUCCCAUCUUGGCGUAAUCGUUUCAACGAACUGAGGAAACCUUGAAAACAUCUGAGUCAGGUAAUUACACGGCUUCUUCCGAGUAUAUUAGAAAUUCUGCCCGUCGGCCGAUUAUAAUCACUAACAUUUCGCUUAUUGAUCAUUCAUUGACAUCGCGUUUAAAAUACCCUUGCCAAUAAGCAAAUGAGGGAACGAAGGUCGGCUAUAUAUACGGUGCCCCGUAAAACUGGGUCGCACUAUAUCACUGAAACAAUUAUGUCACCGAUCCCUACAUUUACCUAAUGGACUCCCAAUCUUGUUUUCAAUAAAAUUAUAUCCACUUUAUAUCUAAUAAUUUAGAUACAAUAUACAGAAGGUUAAUAACUUUUAUAAACUAAAAUUAUCUGAAAUUAUUACGUAAAAUUAUAUUCAUGUUAUUUUACCUCAUAAUUGAAAUCAGGAAUUCGAAAAGGUACUUCUUUGCAAAAACAUGUGGUUAUCUAAUAAUGUUAAGAAUGUGAAUAUAAUGAAGAUGUAUGUAUGUUCAACAAGAUUGAUAAUGAAUAAAGGAGCUUAAAGAAGAUAAACAAAAAAAGACUGACUUUAUUAAAAUACUGAUAAGUGGAUUCAAUCUAGAAUUAAAUAUUUUCGUUAUUUAUUUAAAGGCCCUAGUAACUAUCAUAUUAAGGUUAGGGACAGCAAGACUUUUUCAAAAUAUUUAUGGAUGGAUUUGUGCUCUGCUGGAAUUUAUCGCUUCAACGUGAAAUUAUAUAUUUUCGUUAUUUAUUUAGGAAACCCCCGGUAGCAGUCCUAUUGAGGUUAGGGACAACGUGAAAUAUGAGUAACACAUCUAGAUAACAGAAUAUAAUAUAUAGUAUAGUGUAACACCUACUGGUCUGAAACACACAUGGGAAAAGGUGGAAGUUUCAGUAGUACGAACCUAGCUAUUGCGUGGCAGUAGUUCGUCAAGCGCCUUCGCGCGAUUUAAGCGACCGCUAUGGCGCGUUUCACAAGCCACUCACGUGCAAGCUCGAUUAACUUUUCAUCUAGGAUACACAGUCAACCUACGACGAACCUAACUGAAUAUCGGACAUUCCUGAUCGAAUAGUACUAGUUCACAUGUAAUUACGAAAGUAUUCGAAUAAUGUAGGAACUCAGGAACCUUUUAUGAAUAUACUAUGUAUGUUAUGGACUAUGUAGGAACCAUUUUGAAAUUUCAUUAGCACUGCAACAAGGCACGAGUAUAAUUAUGUCGGGCAAAUCUAAAACCAAUCUGAAAAUGUACAUACACAUCGUAUGAAAUGUUUUUUAAAAUGAAAUGUACACAUCAUAACGUUCGUGUGUAAUAUGUACAUAUUAGGUUAGGUUCAUAUAAAACAUUUAAUCAAAGCAAUUUCCACAUAAUUCAAUGCACUUUCUCAACGCUUAUUUAGUUUCAUUAUUCCAGAUUUAUAAAAAUUACCAGUUCUAGAAUUCAACGAUUCUUAGUAUGGAGCCGUUAUAGUUCCUUUUAAAAUAAUUUAUGCGUUAAAAGAUCGUCUAGAUGGAACGGAAAAAAUCAUUAGCCCCCCCCCCCUGAAAUGCUAAAUUUGUUUCCAGAAAUUUUCAUCUUUCUUUUUUCAAAUUGAAAUUUAUCUAACAAAGACACAUGAAUAUUUUCAUUGCUCAUUUAUACCAAAUUUCAUCCUUAAUGCAAAACUUAGAUGACACAGAAUCGCCAAAUUGAAACUUCGAAGAAUCCACAUUUCACAUGUGCCAAUUUAAUGGAAGCUAUAAGAUAUUUAACGUGAAGAUAUUUAUACAAUCAAUUAUCUAUUGUAUUAAUAAAUUUCAAUAUUCCGGUAGAAUUAUCUGUAGCAGUUAUCACGCGUUUAAGGUGGCUAUUUAUGCUGUAUAACAAUUUUCUACCACAUAUAUAUCGAAACUUUUAUUUACUCUUUCAGAUUUUUCCACAUUUAACCAAUAUGAUUCGUAUAUUAAAUUUAUAUGAAAUUCGCAAUAAAUAUUUUGUAACUUUUAUAACUAUAUGCACUGCCAAAUCAUUUCCAAAUCUGACCAAAGUAAUCAAUAAAGUCGUAUUUUACUGCAGCGUUAAUGAAACUUCAAAAUGUUGUAUAUAAAGCGUAU